This 70-nucleotide transfer RNA is filed under the name Hofstenia miamia. Its description in RNAcentral is "tRNA-Thr for anticodon UGU". It matches the Rfam family "tRNA". From Rfam's summary of the family: Transfer RNA (tRNA) molecules are approximately 80 nucleotides in length. Their secondary structure includes four short double-helical elements and three loops (D, anti-codon, and T loops). Lineage: Eukaryota; Metazoa; Xenacoelomorpha; Acoela; Hofsteniidae. The record is from RNAcentral.
GGCGCUGUAGCUUAGUGGUAAAGCUCUUGUCUUGUCAAAAAGGAACGGUGGUUCGAGUCCGCCAGUGCCU